Long non-coding RNA from Ictalurus furcatus (blue catfish), 2016 nucleotides. RefSeq lists it as uncharacterized. The record is from RefSeq and is a predicted model, not a curated record. NCBI's taxonomy places the organism in Eukaryota, Metazoa, Chordata, Actinopteri, Siluriformes, Ictaluridae. The transcript is spliced from 3 exons.
GUGUGUGCACCUCUCCGCCGCAGUGGCUGACUAUGGAAUGAGAUGACGAGGUUUUCGUAUCCUCGACCCUGUAUCAGUUCCAGUCCAGGCUAAUUAUCGAUCUCUCACACACUCACUCACACACACACACACACACACACACACACACACAAAAGAGUGAGCAGUAAAUUUAUGGCUCCAUAAAUCAUCUUUUGAGUCAGGAUUAUUAAAAAGACCAAUAAGAAGGGAGUGAUCUUAGAACCUGUGUGUGUGUGUGUGUGUGUGUGUGUGUACGCGUGCGGGGACACACACACACACACUAAUGCUGUUGCAUCACCUGGUCAGCACUUUUUACAAACGCCUGAGACAAGACAUUUCAGCUCCGCCUGGCAGACAGGGAUGGCUCAAUAUCCUGAAUCAGGCCAUUCUGAGAGACAGAAAGCGCGCGUGUGUGUGUGUGUGUGUGAGACAGAAAGAAGGCAAGGAAAGGAACACUUUGCAAGAAGCAGGAGCAAACAAAAAAAAAACCCCAAAGAUGGCUGAAAGUCUGGAAAACACCCUGCUGGGAUUAUUAUUAGUGUUAGAUUAUGUGUAAUGUAACACCAUAGAAACCUCUCUGUGACCCGCUGAGGCACGGACUCCACAGGACCUCUGAAGGCGUGCUGUGGUAUCUGGCACCGAGACGGUAGCAGCAGAUCCUUUAAGUCCUGUAAGUUGUGGGGUCGGACCUCCAUGGAUCAGACUUGUUUUGUCCAGAACAUCCCACAGAAGCUCAAUCGGAUUGAGAUCUGGGGAAUUCGGAGGCCGAGUCAACACCUUGAACUCUUGGUCACGUUCCUGUACAGUUUUUGCAGUGUGUCAGGGGGCAUUAUCCUGCUGAAAGACACCACUGGGCACCGUUAGGGAACACCGUAUCUAUGAAGACGUGUACUCGGUCUGCAGUAAUGUUUAGGUAGGUGGUACGUGUCAGAGUAACACCACAUGAAUGCCAGGACCCGAGGUUUCCCAGCAGAACAUUGCCCAGAGCAUCACACUUCCUCCUCCGGCUCACCUUCUUCCCAUAGUGCAUCCUGGUGUCGUCUCUCCUCCAGUGUUUUGCCUACGUUACACAUCCAACCCGCCUCUCUCCCUCUCCCCCCAUCUGCUUGUCUGUGGCCCCGUGCUGGAGUCUCCAUCUUGUUUCCUGUCAGGCGGAGAGGGAUGGAGGCAGGGAGCCCAGAGUUCACCAUCUGAUGGACAGCUUGAGUUUGGCCAUAUGUCUAUGUCACACUUUAUACCUGCUGCUAUUUACAGCUCUUGAUUCAAUCCCUUCUGUAAUUAAUACGUCAGCGUUAAACAAAAAUUAUUUGUGAAAAAUUCCAGACGUUUCUCCUGUUCUUCACACACACACACACACACACACACCCCAGUUGUUAUUUCACUGUGCUAAUGUUUAAAAUCAGCCGGGAAAUUAGUCCUCGGUUCCCUUUUCCCAGUAACGUCUCAGCUCCUGUUCACACACGAGUCUUCCAGAUUUGAUCAGGAAUUUCAGUACGUCUCUUUUUCAUCUAAUGCAGUCUUUUUGGGAUUUCAGCUUUCACACUUCGACUCGUCACUGUUAAAUUCCGACCGUGAAAAGUGUGCGUCUGGAAGUGCCUCACGUUACUGUAACGAACCCCGCAGGGGUUCCAGGGAAGAGAGUGAAUCAUUCCUCUGAUUAUGCUUUACAUUUAUAUGAAACUAAUAUUUCAGGUUUAGUAACCUGUCAACAAAAAGGUGCAUGUGAGUAAUGGUGAAGAAGCACCAACCAAUAUUACUCCAAUAUUACACCAGCCAGUAGGUGUGCGUGCGUGCGUGCGUGUGUGUGUGUGUGUGUGUGUUUGCACAGUAGGUAGGGGUGUGUGUGUGUGUUUUUGUUUCGAACUGAUUGUCUUCUGCUUAGUUCAUAAUCCACAUGAGUAUCUGUAUGUGUGUGUUUCCAGCCUGACCUGAUUUGUGUUCAUUGCAUGUUACAGGUCUUACCUGAUUAGUGUAUGCUAGUGUGUGUGUGUGUGUGUG